UGCAGGUGAUAUAGACCCCACAUCCUACUGCAGGUGAUAUAGACCCUCCAUCCUACUGCAGGUGUUAUAGACUCUCCAUCCUACUGCAGGUGAUAUAGACCAUCCAUCCUACUGCAGGUGAUAUAGCCUCUCCAUCCUACUGCAGGUGAUAUAGACCCUCCAACCUACUGCAGGUGAUAUAGACCAUCCAGCCGUCUGCCAGCAGGUGAUAUAGACUCUCCAUCCUACUGCAGGUGUUAUAGACCCUCCAUCCUACUGCAGGUGAUAUAGACCAUCCAUCCUACUGCAGGUGAUAUAGACUCUCCAUCCUACUGCAGGUGAUAUAGACCCUCCAUCCUACUGCAGGUGAUAUAGGCCCUCCAGCCUACUGCAGGUGAUAUAGACUCUCCAUCCUACUGCAGGUGAUAUAGACCCUACAUCCUACUGCAGGUGAUAUAGACCCUCCAUUCUACUGCAGGUGAUAUAGACCCUACAUCCUACUGCAGGUGAUAUAGACCCUACAUCCUACUGCAGGUGAUAUAGACUUUCCACCCUACUGCAGGUGAUAUAGACUCUCCACCCUACUGCAGGUGUUAUAGACUCUACAUCCUACUGCAGGUGAUAUAGACUCUACAUCCUACUGCAGGUGUUAUAGACUCUACAUCCUACUGCAGGUGUUAUAGACUCUACAUCCUACUGCAGGUGAUAUAGACUCUACAUCAUACUGCAGGUGUUAUAGACCCUACAUCCUACUGCAGGUGAUAUAGACCCUCCAUCCUACUGCAGGUGUUAUAGACCAUCCAUCCUACUGUAGGUUAUAUAGACUCUCCAUCCUACUGCAGGUGAUAUAGACCCUCCAUCCUACUGCAGGUGUUAUAGACCCUACAUCCUACUGCAGGUGAUAUAGACCCUCCAUCAUACUGCAGGUGAUAUAGACCCUCCAUCCUACUGCAGGUGUUAUAGACUCUCCAUCCUACUGCAGGUGAUAUAGACCAUCCAUCCUACUGCAGGUGUUAUAGACCCUACAUCCUACUGCAGGUGAUAUAGACCCUCCAUCCUACUGCAGG
This is a long non-coding RNA of Oncorhynchus keta (chum salmon), 1046 nucleotides long. RefSeq lists it as uncharacterized. The transcript has 3 exons. The record is from RefSeq and is a predicted model, not a curated record. Lineage: Eukaryota; Metazoa; Chordata; Actinopteri; Salmoniformes; Salmonidae.